RNAcentral lists this transfer RNA (73 nucleotides) under bacterium. RNAcentral's name for it is "tRNA-Arg". It matches the Rfam family "tRNA". From Rfam's summary of the family: Transfer RNA (tRNA) molecules are approximately 80 nucleotides in length. Their secondary structure includes four short double-helical elements and three loops (D, anti-codon, and T loops). The record is from RNAcentral.
GCACUCGUAGCUUAAUGGAUAGAGCAUCAGCUUGCGGAGCUGACGGUUACAGGUUCGAAUCCUGUCGAGUGCA